This 498-nucleotide long non-coding RNA is filed under the name Homo sapiens (human). RNAcentral's name for it is "non-protein coding lnc-RBFOX1-1:1". Lineage: Eukaryota; Metazoa; Chordata; Mammalia; Primates; Hominidae. The record is from RNAcentral.
AUGAAAAUGAGAUAAAUAGUGAACUCUUUGAAGAUGCACUGGCAAGAUUUCCUCGACAAGGCAGAAAUGAGAAACAUGACACAGAAGCCUUUAAGGGUGACCUCAGAGGAAAACAGAAGUUGCUGGAUGAUACAGAAGCAGAAAAGGGAAAACCAGAGCUCCGAGGCACCGCGUGUCAACCACCAGAUGGAUUAGCUCUGCUGAUCAACCGAUCAUGGAGUGUGGAGCCAGAAGCAGAAAGGGAGGAGAAUAGAGAAAUAAAAGGGAGGGGAGAAGACACAAAAGGCUUAGCUGUAGUCAUAGCAGUGUGGGCUCUAGAUUGACAUGGGCAUGGGUUGGAAUCCCAGCUCUUUCUGGAAAAUUGCUGAAACACCCUAAGCCCCAGUUUCCUCAUCUGUAAAUGAAAAGUAUGGUAAUAGCACUAUGAUAUGGUUUGGCUCUGUGUCCCCACCCAAAUCUCAUCUCAAACUGUAAUCCCCACAUGCUGGGGGAGGGGCC